GAUGAAGAACGCAGCGAAAUGCGAUAAGUAGUGUGAAUUGCAGAAUUCAGUGAAUCAUCGAAUCUUUGAACGCACAUUGCGCCCCCUGGUAUUCCGGGGGGCAUGCCUGUCCGAGCGUCAUUACAACCCUCAAGCUCAGCUUGGUGUUGGGGCCUGCUGCACUGGCAGCCCUUAAAAUCAGUGGCGGCGCCAUCUGGCUCUAAGCGUAGUAAUUCUUCUCGCUAUGGAGUCCUGGUGGAUGCUUGCCAUCAACCCCCAAUUUUUCUAUGGUUGACCUCGGAUCAGGUAGGGAUACCCGCUGAACUUAAGCAUAUCAAUAAGCGGAGGA
Molecule: unclassified non-coding RNA, 328 nt
Filed under: soil metagenome
Description: partial contains 5.8S ribosomal RNA, internal transcribed spacer 2, and large subunit ribosomal RNA
Rfam family: 5.8S ribosomal RNA (bases 1-120)
Source: RNAcentral